Molecule: ribosomal RNA, 555 nt
Filed under: uncultured eukaryote
Lineage: Eukaryota
Description: SSU rRNA
Rfam family: Eukaryotic small subunit ribosomal RNA
Source: RNAcentral
CUGGUUGAUCCUGCCAGUUGUCACAUGCUUGUCUCAAAGAUUAAGCCAUGCAUGUCUAAGUACACACUGUCGCACAGUGAAACCGCGAAUGGCUCAUUAAAUCAGUUAUUGUUUAUUAGAUCUUGCUAUCCAUGUGGAUAACUGUGGUAAUUCUAGAGCUAAUACAUGCAACUGGCCCUGACUCACGAAGGGGCGCUUUUAUUAGAUCAAAACCAAACAGGGCAACCUGUUUUUGUGAUGACUCUGGAUAAUUUUGUGCCGACCGCAUGGCCUUGUGCCGGCGGCGUAUCUUUCAAAUGUCUGCCCUAUCAACUUUCGAUGGUAGGUGCUAUGCCUACCAUGGUUGUAACGGGUAACGGAGAAUCAGGGUUCGAUUCCGGAGAGGGAGCCUGAGAAACGGCUACCACAUCCAAGGAAGGCAGCAGGCGCGUAAAUUACCCACUCCCGGCUCGGGGAGGUAGUGACGAAAAAUAACAAUACUGGGCUUCAAGCCUGGUAAUUGGAAUGAGUACACUUUAAAUCCUUUAACGAGGAUCUAGUGGAGGGCAAGUCUNG